RNAcentral lists this ribosomal RNA (429 nucleotides) under Chloroflexota bacterium. RNAcentral's name for it is "Chloroflexi bacterium partial 16S ribosomal RNA". It matches the Rfam family "Bacterial small subunit ribosomal RNA", at positions 355 to 776 of the family's 1533-position model. Lineage: Bacteria; Bacillati; Chloroflexota. The record is from RNAcentral.
UGGGGAAUAUUGCACAAUGGGCGCAUGCCUGAUGCAGCCAUGCCGCGUGUAUGAAGAAGGCCUUCGGGUUGUAAAGUACUUUCAGCGGGGAGGAAGGGAGUAAAGUUAAUACCUUUGCUCAUUGACGUUACCCGCAGAAGAAGCACCGGCUAACUCCGUGCCAGCAGCCGCGGUAAUACGGAGGGUGCAAGCGUUAAUCGGAAUUACUGGGCGUAAAGCGCACGCAGGCGGUUUGUUAAGUCUGAUGUGAAAUCCCCGGGCUCAACCUGGGAACUGUAUCUGAUACUGGCAAGCUUGAGUCUCGUAGAGGGGGGUAGAAUUCCAGGUGUAGCGGUGAAAUGCGUAGAGAUCUGGAGGAAUACCGGUGGCGAAGGCGGCCCCAUGGACGAAGACUGACGCUCAGGUGCGAAAGCGUGGGGAGCAAACAGG